CCCUUAGAUGUUCUGGGCCGCACGCGUGCUACACUGAGUGGAUCAACGGGUCAGGUUGCGCGAAAGCGUUUCCUAAUCUUUAAAUCCGCUCGUGAUGGGGAUUGACGGUUGCAAUUUUCUGUCAUGAACGAGGAAUACCUUGUAAGCGCGGGUCAUCAUCCCGCGCUGAAUACGUCCCUGCCCUUUGUACACACCGCCCGUCGCUCCUACCGAUUGAGUGGUCCGGUGAGGCUUUGGGAUCUGAGCGGAAAGAGCGUUUCGCUGUUUCUGCUCGGAAAACUCAGUCGAACCUUAUCAUUUAGAGGAAGGAGAAGUCGUAACA
This 322-nucleotide ribosomal RNA is filed under the name uncultured eukaryote. RNAcentral describes it as "partial 18S ribosomal RNA". It matches the Rfam family "Eukaryotic small subunit ribosomal RNA", at positions 1470 to 1796 of the family's 1831-position model. The record is from RNAcentral.